RNAcentral lists this ribosomal RNA (271 nucleotides) under uncultured prokaryote. Its description in RNAcentral is "partial 16S ribosomal RNA". It matches the Rfam family "Bacterial small subunit ribosomal RNA", at positions 524 to 794 of the family's 1533-position model. The record is from RNAcentral.
UACGUAGGUGGCGAGCGUUGUCCGGAUUUACUGGGCGUAAAGGGAGCGUAGGCGGACUUUUAAGUUAGAUGUGAAAUACCCGGGCUCAACUUGGGUGCUGCAUUUCAAACUGGAAGUCUAGAGUGCAGGAGAGGAGAAUGGAAUUCCUAGUGUAGCGGUGAAAUGCGUAGAGAUUAGGAAGAACACCAGUGGCGAAGGCGAUUCUCUGGACUGUAACUGACGCUGAGGCUCGAAAGCGUGGGGAGCAAACAGGAUUAGAUACCCCUGUAGU